RNAcentral lists this ribosomal RNA (253 nucleotides) under uncultured bacterium. RNAcentral's name for it is "partial 16S ribosomal RNA". It matches the Rfam family "Bacterial small subunit ribosomal RNA", at positions 524 to 776 of the family's 1533-position model. The record is from RNAcentral.
UACAGGGGGGGCAAGCGUUGUUCGGAAUUACUGGGCGUAAAGGGCCAGUAGGCGGCCAACUAAGUCACACGUGAAAUCCCCAGGCUUAACCUGGGAACUGCGUGUGAUACUGGAUGGCUUGAAUUCGGGAGAGGGAUGUGGAAUUCCAGGUGUAGCGGUGAAAUGCGUAGAUAUCUGGAGGAACACCGGUGGCGAAGGCGGCAUCCUGGACCGGUAUUGACGCUGAGGCGCGAAAGCUAGGGGAGCAAACGGG